UACGGGGGGGGCAAGCGUUGUUCGGAAUUACCGGGCGUAAAGGGCUCGUAGGUGGCCAACUAAGUCAGACGUGAAAUCCCUCAGCUUAACUGGGGAACUGCGUCUGAUACUGGAUGGCUUGAGUUUGGGAGAGGGAUGCGGAAUUCCAGGUGUAGCGGUGAAAUGCGUAGAUAUCUGGAGGAACACCUGCGGCGAAGGCGGGUUGCUGGGCUGACACUGACGCUGAUGCGCGAAAGCCAGGGGAGCGAACGGG
This 253-nucleotide ribosomal RNA is filed under the name uncultured bacterium. Its description in RNAcentral is "partial 16S ribosomal RNA". It matches the Rfam family "Bacterial small subunit ribosomal RNA", at positions 524 to 776 of the family's 1533-position model. The record is from RNAcentral.